This 525-nucleotide small RNA is filed under the name Histoplasma ohiense. RNAcentral's name for it is "hypothetical lncRNA". The record is from RNAcentral. Lineage: Eukaryota; Fungi; Ascomycota; Eurotiomycetes; Onygenales; Ajellomycetaceae.
AAACUGCUGCUCAACAGCUCGUCGCCGGGUAAGGACCACCACGAUAUGAUUCCCACUGUAAUACUGGAGUUAUUAAUUGAGCACGUUACCGUUAUUCCCCUUUCCCAUCUUCAUAACCACAAUUGUGUUUUGAAUAAUUGUCCGAAGGAGAGCUAGCUUUUCCUUCGUUGAAUCUCCACAGACCCUUUUUCCAACUUUCUCAAAUAGAGAAAAGAAAAUAGAAAAAGAAAAAAGAAAAAGAAAAACCAAUUAACAUUAAAAGUUAGAUACAAAGGUGCCCAGGCCCUACGGCGACAUAGCACGUCCGGCCACCUGAAGACCACUACGAGUAACGUUGCCGGCCCGUUGUUGAGGAAUCGCCUACAAUAAUGGCCGGGGCGCCAGAUUGGCGGGUUCAGGGGCCAGGAGAAGUUGUAAGCGUUUUUUUAGUUUUCUCUUCUUUUCUUUUCCUUUCCUUUCCUUUCCUUUCUUUUCUUUGCCCCUUGUUUUGCGGGGGAAACUCUUGUUUUACUAUUGAGAUGCUGU